AGACAACUUUCUGGCACUUACGUUGAUCAAACUUUACCCAGUGAAGAUCACCAUUAUCAAGGAUUUUCUACUACUAUUUGCAAAGAUGCAGUGAACACAAAUGCUUACGAAAAGAUUCAAGAGUGUUUUGAGAAAGAUAAAAG
Molecule: long non-coding RNA, 143 nt
Organism: Saccostrea echinata
Lineage: Eukaryota; Metazoa; Mollusca; Bivalvia; Ostreida; Ostreidae
Exons: 3
Source: RefSeq, a predicted model, not a curated record